ACGAGGAAUAUUGUGGAUCUUGGAUGGAUCAACAUCAGCAAUGCUGUAUAAACUAUCGAUAAUGGCAAAACAAGAAUAUUAUAUACUGUAGACAAACGAUUUUAGGUCCUACACAAGCGUCAUAUAUCUUCCUCUGGCAUCUUCUUCAAAUUUCUCAUUCUGUAUCCUCCCGACUCAGUGCUCUUUGGAAUUUUUCUGUCAGGCUUGAAUUUCUCCCUCAUUUUGUCUCAUCAUAGAUCAUAGUUACAUGACCACACAUAUAUAUACACAUACAUUGUAUAAUACUACGCAGGCUAGGAAGCUGAUAUAUCUUAAUUGGUUAUUUUGGAUCGAUAUGCAGUAUGUUAGUAUUGGACUAUUACUCUUGACGUCGUAUAUAGCAUUUCUAAGUAAUUAAGUAACUCAUAUCAACAUAAGUCACUUAUUCUGUAAAUUUAGUUAAAUGAAUUUUAGUAUGGUACUAGAUGUGGUAUUGUAUAUGUUAAUGAUUGUUUAGUAACUUGGUUCAAACGACAAAGAAA
This 521-nucleotide long non-coding RNA is filed under the name Brassica napus (rape). Its description in RNAcentral is "long non-coding RNA (BNAP_LNC010535)". Lineage: Eukaryota; Viridiplantae; Streptophyta; Magnoliopsida; Brassicales; Brassicaceae. The record is from RNAcentral.